This 479-nucleotide ribosomal RNA is filed under the name Bacillus sp. E2HC-08. Its description in RNAcentral is "bacterial SSU rRNA". It matches the Rfam family "Bacterial small subunit ribosomal RNA", at positions 28 to 477 of the family's 1533-position model. Lineage: Bacteria; Bacillati; Bacillota; Bacilli; Caryophanales; Bacillaceae. The record is from RNAcentral.
GAUGAACGCUGGCGGCGUGCCUAAUACAUGCAAGUCGAGCGAAUGGAUUNAAGAAGCUUGCUUCUCAAGAAGUUAGCGGGCGGACGGGUGAGUAACACGUGGGGUAACCUUGCCCCAUAAGACUGGGAUAACUCCGGGAAACCGGGGCUAAUACCGGAUAACAUUUUGAACUGCAUGGUUCGAAAUUGAAAGGCGGCUUCGGCUGUCACUUAUGGAUGGACCCGCGUCGCAUUAGCUAGUUGGUGAGGUAACGGCUCACCAAGGCAACGAUGCGUAGCCGACCUGAGAGGGUGAUCGGCCACACUGGGACUGAGACACGGCCCAGACUCCUACGGGAGGCAGCAGUAGGGAAUCUUCCGCAAUGGACGAAAGUCUGACGGAGCAACGCCGCGUGAGUGAUGAAGGCUUUCGGGUCGUAAAACUCGUGUUGUUAGGGAAGAACAAGUGCGUAGUUGAAUAAGCGUGGCACCUUGACGGUC